CUGCAAUAUUUAAACUGGAAGCACAACCAUUCACCUGCACCACAAACCUCUUUGCAGAGGGAAAACUGACAGGGAUUUCUUUUGCUUUUCCAAGGAUUUUUCUGUCCCAGAGGGAACAGCUCGGUGCCGUGUCCACCGGGAACGUUCCGCUCGGAUGGGGCAGCGCUGGCCUCCCACAGCUGCCUGCCCUGCCCUGUGGAUUUCUUCAACCCCAGGCCUGGCCAAAAAGCCUGUUUUCCCUGUGGCUCUGAAGCAGAGCAGCCUGCAGAAGGACAGAGCACCUGUGUGUGCCUCGGGAAAGGCCAGGUGUUCCAGCCUCGUGAUGCCCUCUGCACCUGCCCCCCUGGAUUUAGGAGGUCUGGGAUGGAUGGAAAACUCUGCAGCAGACAAAGGUACCCCGUGUGCCGGGAGCCAGCCUCCCGAAACCAGGAGGGACAGUGCCUGACCAAGACAGGAUGGGCUCGCUACUGCUCCCAGAAGGUCUGUGCUGUGCCCAGGGAUUUCCAAGGCUAUGACAAAUUUCUUGGGCUCUGCAUUUGUCACUCUGGCAGCCUGGAGAGGGUGUGCGACUCUCAGUGCAGGAGGCAACAAAAAACCACCCUGCAGCUCUCCUGUGCGGGGAAAACAGCUCAGCUCCUCAUCACCCACACCAAUGGCAGCAAGACCACUGUUCUCUUGGAAGGUUUAAGGAAAGUUCUACCAAGACCAAAUUUCUCUUUGGAAGAUGUCUGUGCUGCAGGACAACAAACCCAUCCUGCACACCUGGUGGAGAUGAGCGGGAAAGGAUUUUUAGGGGUUUAUAAUCCUGACCCUCAACAAUUUCAUGACCUCGUGGUGCUGGAUGAAGUUUCUCCGCUUCACCGAACGAAUUCUCCUUCAGCAGCAGCUGCAGAUCACCCUGGCCCCGAGGAGUGCAGGGAUCCCCUGAGCCCCCCAAAUUCCACAUCCCAACCCAAAUUCUUUGGCAUCCUCAACCCCACCACCUGCAUCAGUGGCAACGUGACCCUGCUGUUCCUCGUCUCCAGGGAGCAUUUCCCAGUUUAUGAUGUAAACAACCUGUACAACACAAACGCUGAAUUUGACUGGGGAGAUUUCCGGAGCCUCAGGGAGGAAAUCAGGGAGAUUUCCAGAAAUUCCCAGAAAUUCCUCCUGUUCCUUUUCCAGUUCCAGGCCCCCGGCACUUAUGUGCUCCGGCUGAGCAGCAACAAGCACAAGAAAAUGGUUUGUACAUAA
RNAcentral lists this long non-coding RNA (1233 nucleotides) under Cyanistes caeruleus (blue tit). RNAcentral describes it as "lncRNA (ENSCCEG00000005646.1)". Lineage: Eukaryota; Metazoa; Chordata; Aves; Passeriformes; Paridae. The record is from RNAcentral.